ACUUACCUGGCCAUAUAUGUCGACUCAGUUUUGAUUAAAGGUGGCUAACAAUUCGAGCUAACCCAUGCCACUAGGUUAGUCAUAAUUGUUAUGACUAUGUCAAGUCAAAUUUAAUGAGACCUAAAUCAAAUCUUUCUAAGAAAAUAUUAAGUCUAGGUCUUCCACCAUUAUAGAUGUGCGGGCCCUUCCCAGGGUUGAUUGUUCUCGACUGGUUACAGUGGCUCAGUUGCACCGGAAAGACGCAACCAUGUCCAUUAGGCAUUAGAUGCUACGAAUUAGAGGAUGGGUUGGGCUCAAUAUUUCAGAUAUGGUGAGGGACCCAAUCAAGAAUCUACUUUGUGCAAAUGGUGGGUCUGACUUAACUAAGGAUUGGAGUAAUAUUCUGGACACGGUAAACUUCAUGAAUUAGAGAUCAAGUUUUGGGUGUACCAUGAUUAGAGAAUCAUUGGACAAGAGUUGUCCACUCAUCGGUUGACUCAUCACUAAUAACUGUUAGGUG
RNAcentral lists this long non-coding RNA (499 nucleotides) under Elaeis guineensis (African oil palm). RNAcentral's name for it is "long non-coding RNA (EGUI_LNC062957)". Lineage: Eukaryota; Viridiplantae; Streptophyta; Magnoliopsida; Arecales; Arecaceae. The record is from RNAcentral.